UGCAGAUAUUAGCACGGGACUGUUUUCGGCGCUACACCAGAGAACUCCAGCCGUAAGUUAGGAGCUUUUUACACACAGCUGAGCCUAAUAAUAAACUAACUGCGCUUACUGAGGAAAGCUGAGAGUCUCACAGCAUAAAAUCACUAAAACAGAAUGUGACAGAGGCCAGUUUUUGAAAAGCCCAUUCAAAUCCCGUAUUGACUUGGACGGCUUAGACACGGAACCCCAAAGGAGCCCCAAAUAUGGGCAUAAACAACAUGGCUCGGACUACAAAAUUACAACAGGACUUCAGUGGUCUAUGAGCACAACAAGUGGACAGUGGGAUUUUCCAAGACCACACGCUCUCCUCCGCGACCUUUCACCCCGUAUCUUUGUAUCCAUGGCAACAACACUGACCGGGAAGACAGGAAGCAGAGCCACAUCAUUAAAGCGGGAAAGAGGGAAAAAACGGUAAACAAGUUUCAAGGACUGCGGCGAACGACUGUAGUGCGGUGCUUCACUGUUUCCUAAUAAGCCCCUGUCAAUACCAUGACUACUUAAUGCACAAUUACACCAUCACACUCGACAGCCAGGGCAGCACCAGCCUCUGAGAGGAGGGAGGAGAGACACUACUGUGAAGAAUUCCUCACAAUACCUUCACUCAUAAACACCAGCAGAAGAACAGAGCACUAACAUAAGCCCUGAUCUCAUUUCAGUCCAGUCAAUAUCACAAUAAUUUUCCUUAACUGUGUUUCAUAUUAAUCAAACUUACACAAAUCCUAUUUUCCUACGCUAUCUUAAUCAUUUAUAUUUUAAUUUUUUAUUUCCUAUCAUGCAUGCAUGUGUCCAUCCUGUUACAGCAAGCUGUGUGAAAAUUGGGAUUUAAUGAAAACAUUCAUGUUUUGUUUAAAAGUUUGGACACACUUUAAAUUCAGUGGUUUAAAAA
RNAcentral lists this long non-coding RNA (925 nucleotides) under Astyanax mexicanus (Mexican tetra). RNAcentral's name for it is "lncRNA (ENSAMXG00005021727.1)". The record is from RNAcentral. Lineage: Eukaryota; Metazoa; Chordata; Actinopteri; Characiformes; Acestrorhamphidae.